Molecule: unclassified non-coding RNA, 1606 nt
Filed under: Hevea brasiliensis (rubber tree)
Lineage: Eukaryota; Viridiplantae; Streptophyta; Magnoliopsida; Malpighiales; Euphorbiaceae
Source: RNAcentral
AUUUUUUCCUCUUAGCCAAAACAAUUCCUUUACCUGUGCAUCAUUAAGUCCUCCAUCUCCUGCUCACUAUCGCACCUUCGCGCCUCCAUCUCCUCCCUUGCAUCACCAUCAAAUCCUCUUUAUCACCAAGCCAUACCCAUAUACAGAAGACCCAUCUCUUAACCAAACUCCCUCUUUCACAGAAACCAGUGGCAGAUCUACAUUUUCUUCCACACACGCACCUUUUCUGAUCUAAAAUUACAGAUGAUAGAUUGGUUAUAAGCUGGUAUUGAGUGUUACUUCGUGCUUAUCCAAGCCAGAAUGUUUCAAUUUUCAAGUUGAUUCCUCGCUUGAAGCCUGCUGAAGACAAGAAGUCUAGGUUACCUUGGAAUAGAACUGUGAACCGUGCAUAUGUGUUAUUGGGAAGUGUUGUCUGGGAGAGAUAUGGUUAGGCACAAACGUGUAGGUGGUUCGCAAGGCAUUAAAAUGGGAACAUUAUCUACACAUGAAGGUGUGCCUUCAAUGCCUUAGUCACAGCCAUCUCUCCAAUCAAACACGCCUAUGGUUGUCCAAGUAGGUGCACCUACGACUGGCCAAGAGCCUGCACCUACAGCUGGCCAAGCGCUUUGCACCUACGGCUAGCCAAGAGCCUGCACCUAUGGCUGGCCAAGAGCUUACACCUACAGUUGACCAGGAGCCUACAGAUGCUGGCUCACAAGGUUCUUGCCCUUCCUCAGUGGAGAUUGAUUUUGCAGGGUGACAAUGCCUUGCACUUCGUGAAGAAAAGUUAUCUGCUGGAUUCGCAGCCACUCGAGUGAUCACUUAUUCCUUUAAGCAGCGAAUAGACCCUACAGGUGUUAACUAGAAGAGUGUCCCGCAAGUAACAAAAGAUUUUUAUUGGGAGGAAUUUAAGAAAAAGUACCAUUGGGAGGAUUAUGAGGAAGUAGGGAUAAAGGUUGUCUGGUAAUCAAAGGCUGCAAAACGCUAUAAGGACAUGCUUGCAUAUUUCAAGAGUAACAGAAAAGGCCCCAGUAUGUCAGUAAAGAAACCUGGAGUCAAUUUGAGCAGCACUGGAAUGAUCCCGAGGUUAUUAGGCGCUCUGAGCAGAAUUCAUGAAAUUGUUGUGGUGUUGUAAAUGCUCCUGGGCCAUCAACCCACACAGGUGGAUCCAUAUCAUAUCAGGAAUGGUCGGAUAAAUUGGUGAGUUUUUUCAUAAAUAGUUAAGGUAUUUAAUUUCAUAUAUGAUUGUUGAUGGAAAUGUGAUGGAAUUGUCAUGGUAUAAUAAUCACACAUGAAUGUUUAUGGAAAUGUGAUAGAAUUGCCGUGAAAAUUAUUGUGGAUUGUUGUGUGAAUAAAUUGUGAGAUUUUUAUUACUUUCUGAUAGUGGGGAAAUGUUAAAAAUAUAAGGGAAACUCUGUCCAAUUUAUUUUUGACUUCGGUAUAAAUUUCAAUAAUUUAUUAUAAAUAUAUAAUAAAAUGUUUGUGAUAACUGUUUAUUAUUUCUUCAGGGAAAAGAAUUGGGUCAAAAGCCAAAUCCUUCUGAGUUGUUUCUCCAAACUCACACUCGAAAACAUGACAAAACCACUUUUGUGGAUGAAAAAUCUAGGCAAAUACAUGAAGCAAUAGU